RNAcentral lists this transfer RNA (72 nucleotides) under Camelus bactrianus (Bactrian camel). It matches the Rfam family "tRNA". From Rfam's summary of the family: Transfer RNA (tRNA) molecules are approximately 80 nucleotides in length. Their secondary structure includes four short double-helical elements and three loops (D, anti-codon, and T loops). Further hydrogen bonds mediate the characteristic L-shaped molecular structure. tRNAs have two regions of fundamental functional importance: the anti-codon, which is responsible for specific mRNA codon recognition, and the 3' end, to which the tRNAs corresponding amino acid is attached (by aminoacyl-tRNA synthetases). tRNAs cope with the degeneracy of the genetic code in two manners: having more than one tRNA (with a specific anti-codon) for a particular amino acid; and 'wobble' base-pairing, i.e. permitting non-standard base-pairing at the 3rd anti-codon position. Lineage: Eukaryota; Metazoa; Chordata; Mammalia; Artiodactyla; Camelidae. RNAcentral also lists the same sequence under 1 other name. The record is from Rfam by way of RNAcentral.
GAAGGUAUAGCUCAGUGGUAGAGUGUAUGCCUAGCAAGCACAAGGUCCUGCGUUCAAUCCCCAGCACUUCCA